This 122-nucleotide ribosomal RNA is filed under the name Candidatus Woesearchaeota archaeon. RNAcentral describes it as "partial 16S ribosomal RNA". It matches the Rfam family "Archaeal small subunit ribosomal RNA", at positions 1356 to 1478 of the family's 1478-position model. The record is from RNAcentral. Lineage: Archaea; Nanobdellati; Candidatus Woesearchaeota.
AACCAACCGAGUUGGGUUUGGGUGAAAUGCAGCUUUUAGUUGUAUUAAACCCAGAUUCGGUGAGGUGGGUUAAGUCGUCACAAGGUAUCCGUAGGGGAACCUACGGAUGGAUCACCUCCUUU